This 574-nucleotide ribosomal RNA is filed under the name uncultured bacterium. RNAcentral describes it as "bacterial SSU rRNA". It matches the Rfam family "Bacterial small subunit ribosomal RNA", at positions 102 to 694 of the family's 1533-position model. The record is from RNAcentral.
ACGGGUGCGUAACACGUAGGUGACCUGCCCUAAAGUGGGGAAUAACUCCGCUAACGCGGAGCUAAUACCGCAUGUGGUUACUCAUUCAUUUGGGUAACUAAAGUCGUGAGAUGCUUUAGGAUGGGCCUGCGGCGGAUUAGCUGGUUGGUGGGGUAACGGCCUACCAAGGCGAUGAUCCGUAGGGGGCGUGAGAGCGUGACCCCCCACAUUGGCACUGAGACACGGGCCAAACUCCUACGGGAGGCAGCAGUGAGGAAUAUUGCACAAUGGGCGAAAGCCUGAUGCAGCAACGCCGCGUGAGGGACGAAGGCCUUCGGGUCGUAAACCUCUUUUCUGAGGGACGAGACAAGGACGGUACCUCAGGAAUAAGUCUCGGCUAACUACGUGCCAGCAGCCGCGGUAAAACGUAGGAGGCGAGCGUUAUCCGGAUUUACUGGGCGUAAAGCGCGCGCAGGCGGCUUGGUAAGUUGGACGUGAAAGCUCCUGGCUUAACUGGGAGAGGCCGUUCGAAACUGCCAGGCUUGAGGUUGGGAGAGGGGUGCGGAAUUCCCGGUGUAGUGGUGGAAUGCGUAGA